RNAcentral lists this ribosomal RNA (281 nucleotides) under uncultured Hyphomicrobiales bacterium. RNAcentral's name for it is "uncultured Rhizobiales bacterium partial 16S ribosomal RNA". It matches the Rfam family "Bacterial small subunit ribosomal RNA", at positions 503 to 783 of the family's 1533-position model. The record is from RNAcentral. Lineage: Bacteria; Pseudomonadati; Pseudomonadota; Alphaproteobacteria; Hyphomicrobiales.
UUGUGCCAGCCGCCGCGGUAAUACGAAGGGGGCUAGCGUUGCUCGGAAUCACUGGGCGUAAAGGGCGCGUAGGCGGCCAUUUAAGUCGGGGGUGAAAGCCUGUGGCUCAACCACAGAAUUGCCUUCGAUACUGGGUGGCUUGAGUCCGGAAGAGGUUGGUGGAACUGCGAGUGUAGAGGUGAAAUUCGUAGAUAUUCGCAAGAACACCGGUGGCGAAGGCGGCCAACUGGUCCGGAACUGACGCUGAGGCGCGAAAGCGUGGGGAGCAAACAGGAUUAGAU